GCUUUCGUGAUGUAGUGGUCAGCACGCUCGGCGGUUAUUCUAGAAGUCCGUGGUUCAAAUCCCGGCGGGGGCA
This 73-nucleotide transfer RNA is filed under the name Stegodyphus mimosarum. It matches the Rfam family "tRNA". Rfam says of the family: Transfer RNA (tRNA) molecules are approximately 80 nucleotides in length. Their secondary structure includes four short double-helical elements and three loops (D, anti-codon, and T loops). Lineage: Eukaryota; Metazoa; Arthropoda; Arachnida; Araneae; Eresidae. The record is from Rfam by way of RNAcentral.